Molecule: non-coding RNA, 3049 nt
Organism: Xyrichtys novacula (pearly razorfish)
Lineage: Eukaryota; Metazoa; Chordata; Actinopteri; Labriformes; Labridae
Source: the annotation of a GenBank genome assembly
GUUAGGGUUGGGCUUGGAGCUAGGAUUUUUCUGAGUGUAAUGAACCAACUCCUGAGUCUCUAGGACGUUCUGGUUAAUGAACCAACUCCUGAGUCUCUAGGACGUUCUAAAAAAUUUGAUUUUUUCCCAUAGGAAUGCAUGGGUUAGGGUUAGGGUUGGGCUUGGAGCUAGGAUUUUUCUGAGUGCAAUGAACCAACUCCCGAGUCUCUAGGACGUUCCUAAAAAAAUUUGAUUUUUUCCCAUAGGAAUGCAUGGGUUAGGGUUAGGGUUAGGGUUGGAGCUAGGGUUAGGGUUAGGGUUAGGGUUGGAGUUAGGGUUAGUGUUGGAGCUAGGGUUAGGGUUGGGCUUGGAGCUAGGAUUUUUCUGAGUGUAAUGAACCAACUCCUGAGUCUCUAGGACGUUCCUAAAAAAAUUUGAUUUUUUCCCAUAGGAAUGCAUGGGUUAGGGUUAGGGUUAGGGUUGGAGCUAGGGUUAGGGUUAGGGUUAGGGUUGGAGUUAGGGUUAGUGUUGGAGCUGGGGUUAGGGUUGGGCUUGGAGCUAGGAUUUUUCUGAGUGUAAUGAACCAACUCCUGAGUCUCUAGGACGUUCCUAAAAAAAUUUGAUUUUUUCCCAUAGGAAUGCAUGGGUUAGGGUUAGGGUUAGGGUUGGAGCUAGGGUUAGGGUUAGGGUUAGGGUUGGAGUUAGGGUUAGUGUUGGAGCUAGGGUUAGGGUUGGGCUUGGAGCUAGGAUUUUUCUGAGUGUAUUGAACCAACUCCUGAGUCUCUAGGACGUUCCUAAAAAAAUUUGAUUUUUUUCCAUAGGAAUGCAUGGGUUAGGGUUAGGGUUAGGGUUGGAGCUAGGGUUAGGGUUAGGGUUAGGGUUGGAGUUAGGGUUAGUGUUGGAGCUAGGGUUAGGGUUGGGCUUGGAGCUAGGAUUUUUCUGAGUGUAAUGAACCAACUCCUGAGUCUCUAGGACGUUCCUAAAAAAAUUUGAUUUUUUCCCAUAGGAAUGCAUGGGUUAGGGUUAGGGUUAGGGUUAGGGUUGGAGCUAGGGUUAGGGUUAGGGUUAGGGUUGGAGUUAGGGUUAGUGUUGGAGCUAGGGUUAGGGUUGGGCUUGGAGCUAGGAUUUUUCUGAGUGCAAUGAACCAACUCCCGAGUCUCUAGGACGUUCCUAAAAAAAUUUGAUUUUUUUCCCAUAGGAAUGCAUGGGUUAGGGUUAGGGUUAGGGUUGGAGCUAGGGUUAGGGUUAGGGUUAGGGUUGGAGUUAGGGUUAGUGUUGGAGCUAGGGUUAGGGUUGGGCUUGGAGCUAGGAUUUUUCUGAGUGUAAUGAACCAACUCCUGAGUCUCUAGGACGUUCCUAAAAAAAUUUGAUUUUUUCCCAUAGGAAUGCAUGGGUUAGGGUUAGGGUUAGGGUUGGAGCUAGGGUUAGGGUUAGGGUUAGGGUUGGAGUUAGGGUUAGUGUCGGAGCUGGGGUUAGGGUUGGGCUUGGAGCUAGGAUUUUUCUGAGUGUAAUGAACCAACUCCUGAGUCUCUAGGACGUUCCUAAAAAAAUUUGAUUUUUUCCCAUAGGAAUGCAUGGGUUAGGGUUAGGGUUAGGGUUGGAGCUAGGGUUAGGGUUAGGGUUAGGGUUGGAGUUAGGGUUAGUGUUGGAGCUAGGGUUAGGGUUGGGCUUGGAGCUAGGAUUUUUCUGAGUGUAUUGAACCAACUCCUGAGUCUCUAGGACGUUCCUAAAAAAAUUUGAUUUUUUUCCAUAGGAAUGCAUGGGUUAGGGUUAGGGUUAGGGUUGGAGCUAGGGUUAGGGUUAGGGUUAGGGUUGGAGUUAGGGUUAGUGUUGGAGCUAGGGUUAGGGUUGGGCUUGGAGCUAGGAUUUUUCUGAGUGCAAUGAACCAACUCCCGAGUCUCUAGGACGUUCCUAAAAAAAUUUGAUUUUUUUCCCAUAGGAAUGCAUGGGUUAGGGUUAGGGUUAGGGUUGGAGCUAGGGUUAGGGUUAGGGUUAGGGUUGGAGUUAGGGUUAGUGUUGGAGCUAGGGUUAGGGUUGGGCUUGGAGCUAGGAUUUUUCUGAGUGCAAUGAACCAACUCCCGAGUCUCUAGGACGUUCCUAAAAAAAUUUGAUUUUUUCCCAUAGGAAUGCAUGGGUUAGGGUUAGGGUUAGGGUUGGAGCUAGGGUUAGGGUUAGGGUUAGGGUUGGAGUUAGGGUUAGUGUUGGAGCUAGGGUUAGGGUUGGGCUUGGAGCUAGGAUUUUUCUGAGUGUAAUGAACCAACUCCUGAGUCUCUAGGACGUUCCUAAAAAAAUUUGAUUUUUUCCCAUAGGAAUGCAUGGGUUAGGGUUAGGGUUAGGGUUGGAGCUAGGGUUAGGGUUAGGGGGUUAGUUAGGGUUUGGAGCUAGGGUUAGGGUUGGGUUAGAUUUUUCUGAGUUAAUGAACCAACUCCUGAGUCUCUAGGACGUUCCUAAAAAAUUGAUUUUUUCCCAUAGGAAUGCAGUAGGUUAGGGUUAGGGUUGGAGCUAGGGUUAGGGUUAGGGUUAGGGUUGGAGUUAGGGUUAGUGUUGGAGCUAGGGUUAGGGUUGGGCUUGGAGCUAGGAUUUUUCUGAGUGUAAUGAACCAACUCCUGAGUCUCUAGGACGUUCCUAAAAAAAUUUGAUUUUUUCCCAUAGGGAAUGCUAGGGUUAGGGUUAGGGUUAGGUUGGAGUUAGGGUUAGUGUUGACUAGGGUUAGGGUUGGGCUUGGAGCUAGGAUUUUCUGAGGUUAGGGUUGGAGCUAGGGUUGGAGCUAGGGUUAGGGUUAGGGUUGGAGUUAGGGUUAGUGUUGGAGCUAGGGUUAGGGUUGGGCUUGGAGCUAGGAUUUUUCUGAGUGUAAUGAACCAACUCCUGAGUCUCUAGGACGUUCCUAAAAAAAUUUGAUUUUUUCCCAUAGGAAUGCAUGGGUUAGGGUUAGGGUUAGGGUUGGAGCUAGGGUUAGGGUUAGGGUUAGGGUUGGAGUUAGGGUUAGUGUUGGAGCUAGGGUUAGGGUUGGGCUUGGAGCUAGGAUUUUUCUGAGUGUAAUGAACCAACUCCUGAGUCUCUAGGACGUUCC